Molecule: ribosomal RNA, 252 nt
Filed under: uncultured Bacteroidales bacterium
Lineage: Bacteria; Pseudomonadati; Bacteroidota; Bacteroidia; Bacteroidales
Description: partial 16S ribosomal RNA
Rfam family: Bacterial small subunit ribosomal RNA
Source: RNAcentral
UACGGAGGAUGCGAGCGUUAUCCGGAUUUAUUGGGUUUAAAGGGUGCGUAGGCGGGUUAUCAAGUCAGCGGUAAAAUCGUGGAGCUCAACUCCAUCCAGCCGUUGAAACUGGCGGGCUGGAGUUGGAGAGAAGUACGCGGAAUGCGCGGUGUAGCGGUGAAAUGCUUAGAUAUCGCGCAGAACCCCGAUUGCGAAGGCAGCGUACCGGCUCUACACUGACGCUGAGGCACGAAAGCGCGGGGAUCGAACAGG